GUCCACGCUGUAAACGAUGGGCACUAGGUGUCCGGGGUAUUGACCCCCUGGGUGCCGCAGCUAACGCAUUAAGUGCCCCGCCUGGGGAGUACGGUCGCAAGAUUAAAACUCAAAGGAAUUGACGGGGCCCGCACAAGCGGUGGAGCAUGUGGUUCAAUUCGACGCAACGCGAAGAACCUUACCUGGGCUAGACAACAGUGGACCGUCCUAGAAAUAGGAUUUUCCCUCGGGACCGCUGGUUCAGGUGCUGCAUGGCUGUCGU
RNAcentral lists this ribosomal RNA (262 nucleotides) under uncultured bacterium. RNAcentral describes it as "partial 16S ribosomal RNA". It matches the Rfam family "Bacterial small subunit ribosomal RNA", at positions 793 to 1055 of the family's 1533-position model. The record is from RNAcentral.